GUGCCAGCAGCCGCGGUAAUACCGGCAGCCCGAGUGAUGGCCGAUCUUAUUGGGCCUAAAGCGUUCGUAGCUGGCCAGACAAGUCCGUUGGGAAAUCCGCAUGCUUAACGUGCGGGCGUCCAGCGGAAACUGUCCGGCUUGGGACCGGAAGACCCGAGGGGUACGUCUGGGGUAGGAGUGAAAUCCCGUAAUCUCGGACGGACCACCUGUGGCGAAAGCGCCUUGGAAGGACGGAUCCGACAGUGAGGGACGAAAGCUAGGGUCUCGAACCGGAUUAGAAACCCCAGUAGUCC
Molecule: ribosomal RNA, 293 nt
Filed under: uncultured bacterium
Lineage: Bacteria
Description: partial 16S ribosomal RNA
Rfam family: Archaeal small subunit ribosomal RNA
Source: RNAcentral